This is a long non-coding RNA of Suricata suricatta (meerkat), 1075 nucleotides long. RefSeq lists it as uncharacterized. The record is from RefSeq and is a predicted model, not a curated record. Lineage: Eukaryota; Metazoa; Chordata; Mammalia; Carnivora; Herpestidae. The transcript is spliced from 4 exons.
UUCUGGAGGGAGCCAAUCACCAUGUUGUGAGGACAGUCCAGUCCGGUAGCUCUUAAGAGGGGUCUGGUUAAUGAGCAACUGUGGCCUCCUGUCCACAGUCAACACCAACUUGCCAGCCAUGAAGAAACCAAGAGUGUUACCUAUCUCAUCCCCUGCCACCACCUCUUCUACAUCUUUAAUAUGCUACCAAAUUAUUCAAGGACUCCCAAUAUGCAACACCACAAGCAAUCACCCCAACUUACCGGCCAAGAGAAGACUCUGGAAAGGGCACCUAUCUGGUUUGUAUGUAAAAUAAAUAUUCCUAUAGGAUCCAAUGAGGACUCCUUGAUCCUCAUAUAAAGCCCUAAAAGAGACAGCGAUUUGAGAGGACUCAGAGCUGCUGAAAGAAUGCACGAGAGACCCCCAAUGGUAGCGAAGAAAGCCCUGUGCAUGUGUAGUCCAACCAUCUUGGAGAAGGCAGAUACGUCAAAAGACACCUUACAAUCUCAGCAUCUUAAGUUCUUUGGAGAUGUAUUGUAUACCAACAGAUCCCUGGAACUCACUAGAAGUGUUUUCCUUUGCAUUGUAAGAAAACAAUGGAUGUCUUUCCAAUGCUGGCAGUCAUGACUGCAGUAAGAUGUGCAGAGCAUUAAACUUCUUCCUCCAAACGGCAGUCUUACGGCUCUGGGCACAGUCAUUAUUCGCAGUAUAAUAGUGCACUCUGCAGGAUUUCGUUUCUAAAUGCAAGAUGUGUUAAUUAUGCCUUUGAGAGAGACAAAGAUGGAAAAAGGAGAAAGAGAAAGAGUAAAUGACAAGAGUGAGAGUGGCCGAGAGAAAAAGGCGGCACAGUCAGAACAGGACAUUUGAGAUAACGGUCGAGAAGCCCUGGAUAUGACCCAUCCCAGUUCACCAGGAUAGGAGAUAACUUAAUUUGAGAAAGAAGAGUUCUUUUGACUGCAAAGUACCCUGGACCGUACAUUUUAAAAGGCUGUUUUUGAAAGAGUGCAGUUCUGUCCUCUAGGAAGAAAGUGACCAAUGACUUUUGUUGUUAUCUGAAAAUAAAAAAGUAGAUAUAAUUCAAUGCAAGAACUUCAAA